GUCUACGGCCAUGCCACCCUGAACGUGCCCAGUCUCGUCUGAUCUCGGAAGCUAAGCAGGGUAGGGCCUGGUUAGUACUUGGAUGGGAGACCACCUAGGAAGACCAGGUGCUGUAGGCA
RNAcentral lists this ribosomal RNA (119 nucleotides) under Pteropus alecto (black flying fox). The record is from RNAcentral. Lineage: Eukaryota; Metazoa; Chordata; Mammalia; Chiroptera; Pteropodidae.